AGACGUCCGCCAUCUUGAAUCGUUGCCAUUCGUGUGUAUAUACCUCUACGUGAAAUAAUAAUCAAUUUUGGACGUUUUUAACCGUUUUUGAGUAAAUCCUAUCACUUCAGUUAAUCUACGGGUUAACGGAUUAUUAGAAAUCUUGUUGGAUCUGUAAAAUUUAGCAGAAAUCAGCGUUUAAAAAGAAAUCAGCCGUCCAUUGUUUAUGCUGCGUCUGAACUUGUUAAAUAACAAGUUUUUCCUUUCCGUAAGUAUUUCUUUAGUUUUAUAUUUGCACUCUAUUAAGAUAUAUUUUAAUUAAAUUAUCGAAUUAAAAUUUAUACAAAAAUCUGUUUGAUCUUGUGUUUUUAACAAGUGAGAUACAUUUCGUUAUUUGCUGAUGUAGAAACGUUUUUUAAUACUAGGGUGGUGUAAUCCCCUGCUAAUAAUUAUAUUAUAGAAAAAAUGUACAAAUCUUAUUAGUAUUCUGAUUUGUAACUUAUUGAAAGCAAAUACCAGUUGCAUAGACACCUGCCCUUUAAUUUUAUAUAUUUAUACUAUUCUAUUGAAUUCUUUUUGGUGAAGAUGCGAAUUCAAUACUAAGGUAGUUUAAAAUGGCUUUCUAAGGAUGCUUUAUAUCAUUCUGUAAGCUUAAUAUUACUGGUAGAGACGAGAAUUAAUCCACUACAAACAAACCAAUGUCAUCUUUGGGUAUAUUUGUUUAUUUGGAGGAUGAACGAAUGGGACGAGGAGGUGAUAAUUGUUGUAUUAUACUUAUAGACUAUUUUUAACAUUUUAAUUUAAUACGAAUCUGUAAGAUACCUUAAAUAUUUCAAGAUUGAUAGCAAGGGAAAGUUAGAUUUUUAGUAUUAAACUUGCUGUCAGUUCACGUGAAUUCCCUUUAAUAAAAAACACGUAUAAAAAAAUAAGAGUGAAAUUUCUUGUCACAAGAGUAGAAAUAAUUUCUUUAUAGCCUAUAUAAAGCACGGAGUAACAACAAAAAAUGGGUAUUUUAAAAGGAUCUUGCUUGAAUCUAAAUACUCUUUCUAUCAAUUUAUAAAGAUUCUACGAUUAUAUUUAUAGACGUAAUGUCUUUGUAUUGAAAAGAUCAAGAAGUUUUAUCCGGGUAUAAUAUUAAUCAUCUAGUGUUAUGAUUAAUGAAACAAUUCAGUUCACUCUGAAAUAUGAAUGGAAAAGACCUCUGUUUCCGGUUUAAAACCUGUCUUAAUAAAAUUCUAAAAGAUAGAUGUCAUUGGCAACUGGUAUUUGUAUAAAUAUAUAUAUAAGAUAGUAGUAUGUGUAGAACAAGAAUUCUUUUUUAAAGUCACUUAGUCAGAAGAGUGCUGGAUAAUGGAGGAAGUCUAGUCAAUUAAAUAAAUAAAAAAGAAUGAAUGCAAGGGAUAAGAGUCAAAUUCCGAUGCGUAAACUAAGCGUCGAUCUUAUACGUACUUAUAAGUAUAUAAAUGACGUUUAUUAUGCUGAAAGAGGAAAGAACAAGCAUAAACGACCGCCUGCCGGAAACGCUGGUUCUGGGGAUGGAGAAUCUAAGAAAAAUUGUGUGAGAGAAAGACCUCACCAUCAUCAUCAUCAAGGUCACGGAGGUCCAAAUAAUAAUGGAUACGACGAUGAAAAUUAUGAUUACAUAAUUAAACCUGGUGAACGAUGGAAUAAUGAUCGCUACGAAGUUGAAUCCACUAUAGGGAAAGGUUCUUUUGGUCAAGUGGUUAAGGCUUACGAUAGGGUGCAGCAAGAAUCCGUCGCCAUUAAAAUUAUUAAAAACAAAAAACCCUUCUUGAACCAGGCUCUCGUUGAAAUCAAACUUUUGGAAAUGAUGAACAAUUGCGAUAAGAAAAACCAGAAUUAUAUUGUUCGUUUAAAAUCAAAUUUUUACCAUCGCAAUCAUCUGUGCAUCGUCUUCGAACUCUUAUCAUAUAAUCUCUAUGAUUUGCUUAAGAACACUAACUUUCGAGGAGUUUCGUUAAAUUUAACUAGAAAGUUUGGUUUACAACUGUGUACGGCACUUCACUUUCUCUCACAAAACGAAUUAUCUAUAAUUCACUGCGAUUUAAAACCGGAAAAUAUUUUAUUGGUGAACCCUAAACGAUCGGCAAUUAAGCUAGUUGAUUUCGGGUCGUCUUGUCAAUUAAACGAAAGAGUCUACCAGUACAUCCAAUCAAGAUUUUAUCGUAGUCCCGAAAUUUUAUUAGGACUGCAGUAUGAUUUGGCUAUUGAUAUGUGGAGUGUUGGGUGUAUUUUAGUGGAAAUGCACACUGGCGAACCUUUAUUUCCGGGGUCAAAUGAACAGGAUCAGCUGUUCAAGAUAAUCGAGGUGCUAGGAAUGCCGCCGACUCAUAUGAUAGAAGCUUCCUCCAAGAGGGACAAAUUUUUCAUACAAACACCCGAUAAGCGGUAUAUACCGAACCACGACGCCAGUAAAUACAAGGCUCCUGGAUCAAGGCGGCUCGAAGAUAUCUUGGGUGUCAAUAAAGGUGGUCCAGGCGGAAGGCGACGGAAUGAUCCUGGUCAUACAGAAGCGGAUUAUAAGCGGUUUUUGGAUCUCAUUCAACGCAUGUUAAAAUAUGACCCGAAAACGCGAAUAACACCGUUCUAUGGCCUGCAACAUAACUUUUUUAAAAGAACUGUUGACGGUGCGACUAGUACAAGUCCACAAACGUCAAAGAUGCAACAACCACAACAAGAGCUAUCGCAACAGCUCAAGAUGGAGACAGAAUACGCCGUUUCGUUAAACUGAGUGGUUUUUAGAAGUCUUGCAGCUUUCUUUAUUUUUUUUUUCAAAAAAAAAGUAAGAAGCUGUAUUUUUUUCAGUGCGUGUGUCUUUUUAGAGAUGUUGCAGGAUUGAGAGUGUUUAAGUUAUUUUUAUUUUACUUUGAUGGUAUUCGUUUAUUAUUGCUUGUGAAUGGAUGGAAAUUAUCCUAAUAUAUUACCAAAUUUUGAUAGAUUUUUUUUUUUCAUUUUGUUAAAAAAGAAAAAACAUCUUAAAAGAAAUUUAAUUCAAUUUUUUUUUUCUUUCAGUUCUUUUUAUACCAGAUUUUUUUACGUUCAGAAUCGUUACCUUUUUUUUUUUUUUU
This 3068-nucleotide unclassified non-coding RNA is filed under the name Dimorphilus gyrociliatus. RNAcentral's name for it is "dual-specificity kinase". The record is from RNAcentral. Lineage: Eukaryota; Metazoa; Annelida; Polychaeta; Dinophilidae.